GCCCCGCCCCUUCCCGGAGCUGCGGAGCCAAUGCGAGAGAAGUGUUGGCUGCUUUGCUGGCGGGUCUCGUUUCAGAUCUCAGAUAUAUGCAUCAUCAUUAACAUACAAACUCAGGAUGUUUCUCCAAGGCAAGAUGAGCUCACAGACCUGUGUCACCUGGCCAGAAUCAUAAACUGGAGACAACCUGACUCACAAAACCAUGAUUAAGAAAGUAAGAAGACUGUGAUUAACCCCAGUUUCUUUGUUCUUCCCCUUUAAAACGUCCCUAACUCAAAGACCAAGAUGGGGUGGAUCUGAGAUCUAUCUCCCACUUCCUUGCUUGGCACCCUGCAAAUAAACCCGUACUUUGCUGCAAA
Lagenorhynchus albirostris (white-beaked dolphin) is the source of this 356-nucleotide long non-coding RNA. RefSeq lists it as uncharacterized. The record is from RefSeq and is a predicted model, not a curated record. The transcript is spliced from 2 exons. Lineage: Eukaryota; Metazoa; Chordata; Mammalia; Artiodactyla; Delphinidae.